AACUCGUGAUUCGGACAUUUUUUCAGUAAUGACUUGAAUCUCUUCCAUACUUCACAAAAUGAUUCAUAUGCUCCUUGUCUAAAGAUAGAAAUAUAUGAUUUU
Abrus precatorius (Indian licorice) is the source of this 102-nucleotide small nucleolar RNA. NCBI's taxonomy places the organism in Eukaryota, Viridiplantae, Streptophyta, Magnoliopsida, Fabales, Fabaceae. The record is from RefSeq and is a predicted model, not a curated record.